RNAcentral lists this ribosomal RNA (458 nucleotides) under uncultured Rhodococcus sp. RNAcentral describes it as "bacterial SSU rRNA". It matches the Rfam family "Bacterial small subunit ribosomal RNA", at positions 924 to 1382 of the family's 1533-position model. Lineage: Bacteria; Bacillati; Actinomycetota; Actinomycetes; Mycobacteriales; Nocardiaceae. The record is from RNAcentral.
CACAAGCGGCGGAGCAUGUGGAUUAAUUCGAUGCAACGCGAAGAACCUUACCUGGGUUUGACAUACACCGGAAAACCGUAGAGAUACGGUCCCCCUUGUGGUCGGUGUACAGGUGGUGCAUGGCUGUCGUCAGCUCGUGUCGUGAGAUGUUGGGUUAAGUCCCGCAACGAGCGCAACCCUUGUCUUAUGUUGCCAGCACGUGAUGGUGGGGACUCGUAAGAGACUGCCGGGGUCAACUCGGAGGAAGGUGGGGACGACGUCAAGUCAUCAUGCCCCUUAUGUCCAGGGCUUCACACAUGCUACAAUGGCCAGUACAGAGGGCUGCGAGACCGUGAGGUGGAGCGAAUCCCUUAAAGCUGGUCUCAGUUCGGAUCGGGGUCUGCAACUCGACCCCGUGAAGUCGGAGUCGCUAGUAAUCGCAGAUCAGCAACGCUGCGGUGAAUACGUUCCCGGGCCUU